UCCACUGCCUUCUCUUCCACUUUUAUCUCCUUCUUUACUGGGGUCAGUAUGCCUUGGAGGCGUUGGCCAGGAGUGACCCACUCCUCAAAGCUAUGAAGAAACAAGUCUGCACCCAGACCUGGUGUUUCAGGACCAUGGAGAGCAUCCUACAUAGCCAUCAGACCUUUCUGCUCCCCAAACACGCCUGGCCUAUUCCUACCUCUGGACCUUUGUAGCUGCUGUUUCCUUUGCCUGAAAUGCUGUCCUGUGAGAAAUGCUUCUCUUCGGUUACAUCCUUCCAGCGCCAGCCAGACUUUGCAGCCUCCAGGUGGCUUCCCAGCAACUCUGCACACACAAGCUCAUCCAUCUCCAUCACCCUACGAGUGAGUGGCAGGCAGAUAAGGAAACGGAGACCAGGAACGUUUGAGCCACUUGGCCAAGACACACAGGAGGUAACUGGGAGGUUGAACUGAGGUCUGUCUGAGUCCUGAGCAGAGGCAUUUAACCCCCACCACAUCCUACCUCCCAGGAGAAACAUGAGAGAUGAGCCUGCGGCAGAGCCUCCAGGCCCAUGUUCAAAGGAUGACAUAACUCCUGACUCUUGAUCGCCUGUGUCUGUAGAGAAUGAGUCAGGCUUCUCUCCAGCCUCAGCCAGGAGUCCCGAAGAGCAGGCUGAGGGCAGGGAGCUGCUGCCUCCGGGGCAGACUCCUGCAGAGCCCCAGUCCUAACCCCAAUUAUAGAAUUAAUAGUUACCAUUUACUGGGUCUCACAAUGCCCUGGCACUGUUCUUUCCACGUGCAGGCUUAAGUGAACAGCACAGCCACACUAUGAAGUCUAUUAUAACCCCAUUUUAAAGAUGAUGGAACUCAAGGUCAAAGA
This is a long non-coding RNA of Suricata suricatta (meerkat), 858 nucleotides long. RefSeq lists it as uncharacterized. The transcript is spliced from 5 exons. NCBI's taxonomy places the organism in Eukaryota, Metazoa, Chordata, Mammalia, Carnivora, Herpestidae. The record is from RefSeq and is a predicted model, not a curated record.